This 253-nucleotide ribosomal RNA is filed under the name uncultured bacterium. RNAcentral's name for it is "partial 16S ribosomal RNA". It matches the Rfam family "Bacterial small subunit ribosomal RNA", at positions 524 to 776 of the family's 1533-position model. The record is from RNAcentral.
UACGAAGGGGGCUAGCGUUGCUCGGAAUCACUGGGCGUAAAGGGUGCGUAGGCGGGUCUUUAAGUCAGGGGGGAAAUCCUGGAGCUCAACUCCAGAACUGCCUUUGAUACUGAAGAUCUUGAGUUCGGGAGAGGUGAGUGGAACUGCGAGUGUAGAGGUGAAAUUCGUAGAUAUUCGCAGGAACACCAGUGGCGAAGGCGGCUCGCUGGCACGGUACUGACGCUGAGGUGCGAAAGCGUGGGGAGCAAACAGG